RNAcentral lists this ribosomal RNA (444 nucleotides) under uncultured bacterium. Its description in RNAcentral is "partial 16S ribosomal RNA". It matches the Rfam family "Bacterial small subunit ribosomal RNA", at positions 330 to 792 of the family's 1533-position model. The record is from RNAcentral.
UCCAGACUCCUACGGGAGGCAGCAGUAGGGAAUAUUGCUCAAUGGGGGAAACCCUGAAGCAGCAACGCCGCGUGGAGGAUGAAGGUUUUCGGAUUGUAAACUCCUUUUGUUAGAGAAGAUAAUGACGGUAUCUAACGAAUAAGCACCGGCUAACUCCGUGCCAGCAGCCGCGGUAAUACGGAGGAUGCGAGCGUUAUCCGGAUUUAUUGGGUUUAAAGGGUGCGCAGGCGGCACGGCAAGCCGGCGGUCAAAUCGCGGGGCUCAACCCCGCCCAGCCGUCGGAACUGCCGGGCUAGAGUGGGCGAGAAGUGCGCGGAAUGCGUGGUGUAGCGGUGAAAUGCAUAGAUAUCACGCAGAACUCCGAUUGCGAAGGCAGCGCACCGGCGCCCUACUGACGCUCAGGCACGAAAGCGUGGGUAUCGAACAGGAUUAGAUACCCCCGUA